Molecule: long non-coding RNA, 493 nt
Organism: Psammomys obesus (fat sand rat)
Lineage: Eukaryota; Metazoa; Chordata; Mammalia; Rodentia; Muridae
Exons: 2
Source: RefSeq, a predicted model, not a curated record
UUAGAAAGAGUCACUAUGAGGACCCCAGUAGCUCCUGCAGGCUCUAAGAUAGAGGAGCGGCACAGUCUAAGCGAUGCUGGAGGACUUAGAAGCAAAGAAACAGACUGGCCUUCAGAACCUCCAGGAAGGACGGAAGGGAGUGGCACUACUGAAAAGGAUUCGGAGGUGUGGCCUUGUUGAAGGAAGAAUGGCACUGGCUCUGUAGUUUACAAAAGCCACGCCAGGCCUAGCAGCUCUCUCUUCCUCUGGAUCAGGACAUGGAGCUCUCAGCUACUUCUCCAGCAUGUGCCUGCCACAUACCACCAAGCUUCCUGUGGUGAUGAUAGUGGACUAAAGUAAACUUCUGAAACUGUAAGCCAGCCCCAGUCAAAUGCUCUCUUUAUAAGUGUUGCUGUGGUCAUGGUGACUCUUCACAUCAAUAUAACAGUAAGAAAAACAGACACUCAACUUCAUUCAGCACAGGAGAAAUAAAAAAAGAAUGACAUCACCUUAA